GCCUGGGUGGCUCAGUCGGUUGAGCGUCCGACUUCGGCUCGGGUCACGAUCUCACGGUUCAUGGGUUCAAGCCCCGCGUCAGGCU
RNAcentral lists this transfer RNA (85 nucleotides) under Felis catus (domestic cat). It matches the Rfam family "tRNA". Rfam says of the family: Transfer RNA (tRNA) molecules are approximately 80 nucleotides in length. Their secondary structure includes four short double-helical elements and three loops (D, anti-codon, and T loops). RNAcentral also lists the same sequence under 1 other name. Lineage: Eukaryota; Metazoa; Chordata; Mammalia; Carnivora; Felidae. The record is from Rfam by way of RNAcentral.